Molecule: long non-coding RNA, 1166 nt
Filed under: Vombatus ursinus (common wombat)
Lineage: Eukaryota; Metazoa; Chordata; Mammalia; Diprotodontia; Vombatidae
Description: lncRNA (ENSVURG00010012616.1)
Source: RNAcentral
GGGAGUAGCCAUGGAAGAGGGGUCCAUCUGGCGUCCAUAAACUGAAGGCAGAUGGACUUAGAGGAUUGCAGCAGAGGGAGCCUGAAGAAGUUGAAAUAGGGAGGGUAUAGAGGCUUGGCAGUCACUGCAUGGCAUGGUUAAACUGGGUCUAUAUGGGGAGGCUUUGCUCAUUUUCCACUUUGUCUUUCUCCAGCUUUAUCAUAGUUAUCACCAUCCUGAUCUCUUCUGUCAGUGUGCUCCUUCUUAUCCUGCUCUGUGUUGGUAUCAUGUCUAUGAUGCUGAAGAAGUGGAGAAAUAAGAGGCUUCUCAAGAAACAGAAGAGAUGGAACAAUUUUCUCUUGAAGUCCAAGGCUGUAGAUUACCAACCCGAUGCAAUAUAUUCCAAUGUGAUCAACCUGGUUGCCCAGAAGGAAGAUGAUUUUGCCAUUUAUGCCAACAUACCACGUUUCCAGUGCCCCAGGAAAACCUCACCUGUUGUCACUUAUGCUCCUGACCAAAUGGAACAUCCUUCCGGUGUAUUCCUCUGAUGGAGGACCAGAAGACUAUUCUGGAAUGAGAGGAUGCAGAGAUGAGAGGUGGCGGACUGCAAAGAAGGUGGUGGAAGAGAGUUGCCAAGCUUAGCAUGAUGAGAUUUAUGUAUUUUUUUAAACUGACCACCAGCCCUCAUGUUUAUAGGGACAGAGAUGAGAGCAUGAAUUUUUUUAAAAGUGUCUUGGAAAUACAGGAAAUAUUUAAAUAUUUAAAUGUCCUUUAAAUAGGACAGACAGCUCAAGUCUAACAGAGUUAUCAGUAGUAUAUGACAGGACUGGGGAGAUGGGCACACCGCCACUCAUGCAGCCCCAAAAUGUCCAAGCAAAACAUCAUUUUGUAUCAAGUUGGAAGUAAAAAAUCAGAGACCAGACAGCUGAUGUGAUUGCCAUCCCACGGCAAGGGGUGAGGAGCUGGGACCUUUGGAAUCAGCAGAGUGUAGUGGGAAGAAUGCUAGAUUUAGAAUCAGUCUUCAAAUCCUCAGGCACUCCUCUGACUUCAGUCACUUCACCUCUCUGGGUCUCAGUUUCCUCAUCUGUAAAAUGAAGGCAUUGGACUAGAUCUGGGGUUCUUAACCUUUGUGUGUAUGUCACGGAUCACUUUGGUUAGUCUGGUAAAGCCAAUGGACCCCAUCUCAG